Molecule: long non-coding RNA, 2142 nt
Organism: Homo sapiens (human)
Lineage: Eukaryota; Metazoa; Chordata; Mammalia; Primates; Hominidae
Exons: 2
Source: RefSeq, a predicted model, not a curated record
AGCGCAGGGACUCUCACCUCCUCCUCGUGGGACCCCUUCUCGCCCGCGCGUGGACCCUCGCCGCGCUCUUGCUUGACAGUCACCACGAAGCCCCCAUGCUGGCCCGGAGCCUUGCCGCCCGCCGGCCUGGAGCCAAGGAUACCGCGGUCAGCCCCGUCCCAAGAAUCUCCCCUCCCCCAAAAGCCCACCCCAGGGCGUUUUGACCCCCGACGGCGGGGCUGCAGCGAGAGUGCAUGAGCCCGAGGAGGCAGGGUCUGAUGGGGUCAGUAUCCGGGGAAGGUGGGACAAGCGGGGCUCCUGGGAGGGACUGGAGGCCGAGGUGGGGGGUGCAGAAUUGGGUGGAGGGAGAAGCCCCCUGACCCAGGUGGGGGAGUCAAGACUCCGGCGGGAGGGACUGGGUCAGGGGUUCAGGAGCUAGGGCUGCAGCCGGGAAAGUAGCGAGGGCGUGGGGAGGGGAUCAGUGCACUCACGCGGCGGCCGCGCCGGGCUGCUUGGGGCCGUGGGACAUGGCCGCUCCGGGCCGGACCUGGAACACGGACGCGGGCGGAGGUGAGUAGCGCCCGGGCUGCCCGAUGGCAGACCGCGAACUGGGGUACCCCGCGAUGGAGAGCCCCGGGAUGCCGGGCCCGGAGCGCUGGGGGGGCCGGAUCCAGGGGCAGGGAAGUCCUCGAGGGCGGGCGCCCCAAGAAUCCUUUGUUGGGCGAUUGCCCCCCCCGGGAGGCCUGGGCCGGUUUCCCCCGGGCCAGGAAAGACCCCGGCCCGGCCCUGGGACCCCUGCACCCCCGCCCCCUCUCAGGGCCCGGAGUUCCGCGGCUGUUUUCACCUCCAAAGAAACUUUCCCGGACCUCCCGACUGCGCGACGCUCCAACCAACCGCCCGCAGCCCGCCCCCGUCGGCCGCCCCGCCCCUCCCCGCCCCCGGCAUGCUAAUGAAGGCCUCGGCGAACGGUCCCAUUGGGUGAGACCUUCCCCCCGGGCGAGCCCAUGCAGAUACCGAUCGGCGCGCCGGCCGGCGAUUGGUUGGGGAGGUUGCUGAGUCGCGUGGGAGGUUGGUAAGGAAGGCUGCGGGCGGUGCGUCAAGUUCGGCUGCGCUCGGCCGCGCUCGGGACCAAUCGGGAGCGAGUGGCGGACUUGCCGGGCGGAGCCUCUUAAAGGGCCAGUAGGAGAGGCGCGGACUCCUCCUCCCUCUCUGAAGGCAAGACUCCCAGCCGCUGCCGGAUGGGGCGACCGGCGGAUCCGGGUCGGGCCCCGCCCCGGUUGCCAUGGGGACGGAGAUGUCUAGGAGGCAGAUGCAGCUGCUUUGGAAAACAGACUGGCAUUUCCUCAAAGGGUUAAAUAAAUGUGGAAUCACCAUGCAAUUCAGCAGUUCACUCCUAGGAAUAUACUCCAGACAACUGAAAACAGGUGUUCAAACAAAAGCGUGUACACAAGCGUCGGUAGCAGCGUGAUUCAUAAUAGCCAAAAAGUGAAAACAACUCAAACGUCUGCUAAUGAUGCAUGGAUCGAUGACGGGAUAUAUCCUUACAACAGAAUAUUAUCCGCCAUGGGCCGGGCGCAGUGGCUCACGCCUGUAAUCCCAGCACUUUGGGAGGCAGGCGGAUCACUUGAGGUCAGGAGUUCGAGACCAGCCUGGCCAACAUGGUGAAACUCCAGUUCUAUUAAAAAUACAAAAACUAGCCAGGCGUGGUGGUGCACGCCUGUAAUCCCAGCUACAUGGGAGGCUGAGGCAGGAGGAUCCCAUGAACUGGGAGGCAGAGGUUGCAGUGAGCCAAGAUUGUGCCACUGCACUCCAGCCUGGGCAACAGAGCAAGACUACGUCUCAAAAAAAAAAAAAAAGAAUAUUAUCAGCCAUAAAAAAAAGGAGCGAGUCUCUGACACAAGUCACAGCAUGGAUGUACCUAGAAGACAUCACACUCAGUGAGAGACGCCAGACACAAAGGUCACACAGUGUGUGAUCAGAAUGUUCAGGAAAGGCCCAUCCACAGAGACAGGAGGGGGACGUGUGGGUGCCAGUGGGUGGGGAAUGACCACUGAGAGGGAUGCGGUUUUCAUUUGGGUGAUGAAAGUAUUUUACAAUUUGAUUUCAGUGAUGGCUGCGUGACUCUGGAAAUAUAUUACAAACCAUGGAAUUGUAUGCUCUAAA